GCUGCAGAGGGAAACAGAGGGAGCGCAUUAAUUCUGCACAGGUUCUAUUACCUGCUCCAGCCACAGCCGGGGCAAGCAUCACCCAAAUAGCCCCGGGUGUGAUGUCAGACGGGCUGCCACCCUAGCACGUACCCAUCCGGUCACCGGCCACCACCAGUUCGGGUCUGUCACCUGCCUACACCAUUCACCUCACCUGUCAUCUCUAGACAAGGCAUGGCGGUGGUGAUGAGCGCCCAUCCUGGAGCCUACCCUGUACAGAACCCUGAGCCACCAUUGCAAGCAGGGCCCCUGUGCCUACUCCUUCCACACGUGACAACCUCAGUCUCCACCGCUGGCGUCUCAGGGUUCCCUGCCACGCUUGGCACACACUCAGCUCAGGGCCUGUGUUCUAGCCAUGCCUCGGCCUGGAACGUUCUCCUCCUCACUCUCCCAUGGCUCUCCCCUCCUGCAGCAUACACUGUACCUCCCUGGGCAGCGCCCACCAAUCCCUCCUCCCUGACAGCAGCACCGAGUAUCAGCUGCAGAUGACCUCUUUCUUUCGUUCACUGUAAGGCUCCCAGCAGGGGAAUAGCACCUACUUCCCCUGAAGCUGCCUGCCCGAGCUCCCGCAACAGGCCUAGACUGGGCACUCGCCCUGUUGGACACACAGGAAAGACACUGCCCGGCCAGCUGCGUGGCUAGCACAAAAGCCAGGCUCUGCACAGUAGCGCAGGUGUUCAGCCCAGGAGUGUCUGGACUGCAACUCGGAGAGGAGCAACCGGUCCAGGAGUGAACCUGCCUGUCAAUUACGUCCUCUGCAGUCUACCACGCUGGCUGUUGUGAUACCCCAUAAACUUUCAGCCCGGCCUGGUGGCUCACAUCUGCAAUCCCAGCCCUCAGGAGGCUGAGGCGGGAGGAUUAUGUAAACAUGCUUUGUUUUUAAAACUUCA
Molecule: long non-coding RNA, 929 nt
Organism: Mesocricetus auratus (golden hamster)
Lineage: Eukaryota; Metazoa; Chordata; Mammalia; Rodentia; Cricetidae
Exons: 2
Source: RefSeq, a predicted model, not a curated record